Cyprinus carpio (common carp) is the source of this 311-nucleotide long non-coding RNA. RefSeq lists it as uncharacterized. The transcript has 3 exons. NCBI's taxonomy places the organism in Eukaryota, Metazoa, Chordata, Actinopteri, Cypriniformes, Cyprinidae. The record is from RefSeq and is a predicted model, not a curated record.
GACACUUCUCAGACAUUACUCCUGAGGCCAUAAAAGCUCAAGAUGGCGACAAGGGCAUCAACACGUCUGUAGUUUACAGCAUAACGACAGUCAUUCCAAAUAAAUACCAGAACAACUUUGAAAUUGAUGUAAAACAGUGGAGUCAUCUCUGUGACGAAGGCGCUAGACAGAGAGGAAACAGAGCAGAUUUCUGUUUUCAUACAGGCAGCUCAGCAGAAUGAUGCCAGGAAGACAGCUGAGACUACGGUACUCAUCACCAUUGUGGAUGUGAAUGACAUUCCGCAGAAAUUUGACCAGGGGGUCCAUUCUUC